CUCUAUUAAAUAGGGUUUAUGAAAUAUAUGAUCAUCUUUUUUUUGAAGUUGACGGAAAUGAUAUCUCAAUAAGAGUUCAAUGAUGAAGGCAGCAUCCAGCAGAAUCAUUUCAACAAAUUUAUCACUACUUAGUUCGACUUUUUCUGCAUAAGAACCUCGUAAUUCUGCUUCUCUGAACUUUAUAAUUUGAACAAACUCGUCAAAGCUUAUUUUGGUCCGUUGAAGAAAGUAAUGCAGGUACCGCUGUUUAUGUUCUUCCAUGAACUGUAAGUUUGCUUUGCCAUGGUGAAGAGGUAUCCUCUUAUGAAUUUAGUUUAUAUCCUAAUAUGGGAGAGUCAAUAAUUGGAUGCAAGUCAAUAGCUGCAUGCAAUCUGAGGGCUAACAUUUGUUUGAUCAAUAUGUUAAAAAAAAAAUGUUAUAAAACAGGAUUGAUUGAUGGCCUUUAACAGUCAGUUCUAUGACAAAGUAACCACCACAAAAAAGGGAAUCACAAGACAUCAAGAAGCUUGAACUUGGCAGGGGGUCUCAUUAGCAGUACGCCUAAGAAAUUAAGACAAAGUCAAAGUGCAAGCUUAUGGAGCAAUUUAAGCACUGAAACUAAUAACAGUGAUAGACGAAGGUGCAGAAGUAUGGUAUUGGCAAUUGACCUCUGCUUUUGCUUAGACAUAGGUUCUCAUUACAAAGGACUUAUUAGUAGCCCUCGCCUCACAUGUUUGGAUGUUAAGGGGAAAAAGGAAGUUUGAAUUAUUCAAUCUCUUUUCUAAUGGCAUUCAUGGAGAACCUAUAAAACAAAAUAAUAAAUAAAAAUUUUCAUCCAUGAAAAGCUCAGUAACGAAAAACCGACUCGUUUAUCUACCACUGACCCAAUCCGGACUCUCAGUGGUCAUACCAUGGUCACUCAUUUCAAAAGCAACUAAUGAUGAGAACUUUCAUCAUUAGUUGAUAUGGCCAAUGUAGAAAAACAGAAAAACCCCUCCAGCAUCAAAGCACAAGGAUAAGUUUAGAAUUACACUUCUUAAUUUUUUUUAAUAAAUAAAAGUCAAAAUGAAAAUAGAAAAUAGUUUUGAAUAACUUUUUUUUAAAAAUGAAUAUAGAUAUAAAACUUUAAAAUCACCAAACAGAAAAACAGGGGAAUGAAAAGAUGGCCUCCGUUUCUCCUCUGUUUUGUUUUUACUGUUAUUAAACAGGGGAAUGAGAAAAGAGAGCCCCUGUCCUUCUCUGUUAUGACUUUUUUAUUACUAAACUGGGGAAUGCAAAGAUCACCUCUUAAUGCAUGCGCAAAUUUUUGUUUCUACCUUAGUACCUUCUAAAUGCUGCAUGCAUUAAAAUUAAUCUGACAUAUGCUAGCAUAACAGCCACUCUGCAUGUAAGUUCUGGAUAUAUCCAAAUAAUAUAAUGAUUUUAAAAGUUCAAAUUUAGCAUUUAAUUGUAAAUAUAUUUGUACAUAAAUUUAAUGUGCAUUUCGUAUAUUGCAUUGUUGUUAUUCACAUUUUUUGUAUGCUACAAUGAUCUCAAAACGAUAAAAUGCUUCGUGUGUCUCUUCUUUAUGUUUCUCGUUUCUGUGCAGGCAAAUCCUUCAUUGCAUAGUACGCUUCAGCGUGUACAAAGACGGUAUGCAUUUAGCUAUAAAUAGUAUCAUUAAACAAAGAUACUAAUAAAGAUACUAAUAACUACUGUUUGGGGGAUAUACUUUGACAAGACCAACCAUGAUGAGCAGAUGUCUGGUAGCAGGAUUCCACAAACAGGAGUAUUAUGCUCGUUCAAUAAUGCACCCUCCACGGGGCCAUAGCGGGAGCCGGCCUCCUACUAGGAGUAUAAGGCCAUUCUUACUAAAGGUUGAGGGGGGGAGACCCGGUCAAUGACGGUUGGCAAGACGUGCAUUCCUGCCCGAGAAUCAAGGCACGAAGUCCACUCAGCCACAACUAUGAUAAUGACGCACCCACUUCCGAGAGUUGAGAGAGGUGAUAGACGUGGAUUGCAGGAAGGGCCGGAUUCAAAGGAAUGCUAUAAAAAGGUAACCAACGAAGGUAAAGGGGUUAGACUUUUUGAGAUUAGAACUUAGGAAAAGAGCUUUCUAUUGAGAGAUCAUAAAAGAGCCAUAAUAUUAGUGGUCGUGUUUCCCAAAAAGGCAAAACCUACGUUUCUGACUUGAGCGUUGGAGGGUUUACACUGGAAAAACACCCGGUGUGCUGUGACCUGUCUCUGUGUACGCAGGAGUCUGUGGAGAGGAAGUCUUACGAGGAGAGAUCCUAGUCGUGGAUGAGUUGGUUGAGGAGAGAUCCUGGUCCCGGACGAGCAGAAAACCAGAAUCUCGUAUCAACAUUUUGGCGCCGUCUGUGGGGAGCUAAGCCAAAAGCUUCUGUUAAUAGAGAGAAGAAGAGGAAAGGAAGUGAGGGAACAAUGGAUGUAGGCGGAGGUAGUGCCCAAGAAGGUGACUUGAGACUUAACGAGUCCGUGACAUUGAGAGAGAUAGCCAAUGAAGCACGGGAAAAAGCAAUAUAUAAGCGGAUAGAACGGAUGGAGAAACAGAUGGAGACCCUGACAACCAUCCUACACGAGCUGAGAAGUGAGUGAAGGGGAGUUCAAGAGGAGGGGGUGAGAAGUGGCGGAAUGACACCAGGGCACGACAAUAUGAUGAGAGGUCGGACCACCAGAAGAUUUGGUGGUGAGGGGGGUAACUCAUCUCUACGGGGAGAAAGCCAUCGAGGAGAAGAACAAUCCCCAGGGAGGCGGAUCUUUGAUAACGAUGACAAAGUGGCGAAUGCAGAGGAAAGAGAACUCCGGCAACACCUGCAUGAUGUUGAGCAAGAGCGAGAUCAGGUUGCAGCACGUGACCCUGGUCGUGCUGUACAACUGGAAGAAGAAGUGCGCAGAUUAGCGCAGAUAAUAGAUGACAUGCAAGGGCAGAGCAGAGCACCUGGUUGGAGGAUAAUGCUGGACGGAGAAUCCCUGCUCUUAGCAGAAAUCAUGAGGGCAGUCAUUCCGAGGGAUUUUCACCUCCCAAACCUCAGUUACUCGGGGUAAACUGAUUAGUUGGUGCACAUAGAGUGCUUUAACGACAUAAUUGGGGUGCAAGGAUUAUCGCAAGCUCUAGAGGGACAAGCACGUGAGUGGUACCGGAAACUUCCUCGAGGGAGCAUUAAAUCCUUCGAGCAGAUGUGCCAAGAAUUUGCAGAGCAGUUCUGUAGGGCAAUGGAGCCUGAAGAUGAUAUGAUGGAGCUGACGAGCAUGAAGCAGGGAGAGGAGGAAACCCUUCGAGAAUUCAUCAAAAGGGUCCAUCGUGCUGUCCUCGAUUUGGGAGCUUUCAACCAUCCUCAGACAUUAAGGGGAUUGAAAGAAGGGGUGAAGAUAGGACAGUUGUGAUACAAUUUGAGGAAUCCUACUAUUCAGACAUAUUCAGCCGCUUACGAGCAGGCCAAGAGGGACAUAGAGAUUGAGGAGGAAAAGGCAGCACGGAUUAAGACAGACCAGCUGGAAGGGUUAAUGAGGAAAGAGAAGAGAGCUCUACCAGGAAAUGGGCCUAUUAAGAGGAAGGACCAUCAUGCCUCAGGUAGUGGUGUAGGAGGCCGGGUCACCUCUUACCAGUCUCAUCAGAGGCCACCCCAAUAUUAGCGCAGUAGGGCGCAACCUCCUUGUUCACCAGCCAGAGAUUCAUGGAGAAGGCAUGACCCAACAUAUGGUCAUCCUCAUCCACACCCACACGGUGUUAGAGGAAGCAGACCAGAAGCACUGUUACCCCAUCUAGUUCAGAACGGCACCAACAGGGAAAGGUCGGUAUACAUGAUCGACUAGAGUCAAGACUAUGGGUGGUAUACUUCCUUGAAGAUGCCCCUAGACAAGGUGUAUGAGGCCAUAAAGGAACAGAGAUUACUGUACCUCCCUACCCCAAUAACAAAGCUACCCAGCAAGAGAGAUAUUGUACCUCCUUACCCCAAUAGUAGCGAUAGACUAUUUCAUGAAGUGGAUAGAAGUAGAAGCCCUCAGCAGGAUCACAGAGAAAAAGACGACUGACUUCGUAUGGAGAAACCUGGUCUGUCGGUACGGGAUCCUUUAUACCCUGAUAGCAGACAAUGGCAGGCAGUUUGACAAUCACAACUUCAGGGAGUUCUGCCAGAACCUCGGGAUAGAGCUGAAGUCUUGCUUGCCUGCUCACCCUCAGUCUAACGGACAAGUAGAAGCAGCCAACAAAAUAAUCAAGAGGCUUUUGAAAACUAGGCUAUGAGCAAAAAAGGGAGUAUAGGUUGAUGAGCUACUAGGUGUAUUAUGGGCAUACAGGACAACUCACAAAACAGCAACUGGCGAAACUCCGUUCGCUUUGGCCUUUGGACAUGAAGCUGUUGUACCGAUCGAGAUAGGGGCGACCACGCACCGGACAGAUCACUUCGAUGAGCAGGAAAACAACGACCAAAUGUGCUUGAAUCUGGAUCUGCUGACUGAGAAGAGAGAGCAAGCAUCGAAGCGAUCCGCCGUCUACCAGCAGAGGGUUGCUCGUUAUUACAACCAGAAGGUGUGUAUACGACAGUUCAAGGUCGGCGAUUGGGUACUAAGGAGGGUGGAUCAGAACACGAAAGACUCGACACAAGGAGUACUUGGACCAAACUGGGAGGGGCCGUAUAGGGUCAAGCAAGUAACUGAACCCGGAGCCUAUAAGCUUGUUCGCGCGGAUGGCCACGAGGCGAAACGCCCCUGGAACGCAGAACACCUCAGGAAAUAUUUCCAAUAAGACCCAAUCAUGCUUAAAAGUUAUUUCUAUUCGUUCUUGUUGUUAUUUGUUUUAUGUUAAAUCAACCUCAUGUAAGCCGAAUUCAGAAAUUAAUGAAACGUUGAGGAAUUUCAGUCAGUUGUAAUGUUGUAAAAGUUUCAAAGGCAUGCAAAGGCUCACCAAGUCUCAAAACCUGUGUUAUGGCGAGACCAGAAGCCAAGCGUGCCAGGAUUUGCUCGACCAAGUGAAGGCGAGCAGACCCUCAAAUGUUAAAAAAUUUCUAAGGCAUGCAAAGGCUCACUAAGUCUCAAAGUCUGUGUUAUGGCGAGACUAGAAGCCAAGCGUUCCAGGAUCUGCUCAACCAAGCGAAGGCAAGUAGACCCUCAAAUGUUAUAAAAAUUUCUAAGGCAUCCAAAGGCUCACUAAGUCUCAAAGCCUGUGUUAUGGCGAGACUAGAAGCCAAGCGUGCCAGGAUUUGCUCGACCAAGCGAAGGCAAGCUGACCCUUAAAUGUUAUAAAAAUUUCUAAAGCAUGCAAAGGCUCACUAAGUCUCAAAGCCUGUGUUAUGGCGAGACCAGAAGCCAAGCGUGCCAGGAUCUGCUCGACCAAGCGAAGACGAGUAGACCCUCAAAUGUUAUAAAAAUUUCUAAGGCAUGCAAAGGCUCACUAAGUCUCAAAGCCUGUGUUAUGGCGAGACCAGAAGCCAAGCGUGUCAGGAUCUGCUCGACCAAGCGAAGGCGAGCAGACCCUCAAAUGUUAUAAAAAUUUUCUAAGGCAUGCAAAGGCUCACUAAAUCUCAAAGCCUGUUUUAUGGCGAGACCAGAAGCCAAAACAUACCAACAUCUGCUCGACCAAGCGAAGACGAGCAAACCAUCAAACGUAAGGCGACGGGAAGCUGAACUUUUCGACACCUACUCGACCACAAUGUAAGCGAACAAAAAAUAAAAUAAUCUGCCAAGAGCUCAAAGCGAAGAAAGCAAAUAAGAACAUUCUUAUUAAUCUGCCAACAAAUUAUGAAAGCUGCUAGUCUUAACAUACAAUGUUCCAAAAAAGAAACCUACGACACAAGGUACAUUCAAGAGGACAGCGGGUCAGUAAGCUGGGCCGUCUCUGUUGACUGGUCCACCUCAGGAGCAUGGGGGUCUCACCAGUUGCACUCGGGGGGGUACUUGCCUCGGCAACAUCAGCAGGGACUGCACGAGGAGGAGAUGUUCCCUCCUCAGUUGCAUUUGGCUCCAACUCUUCGACAUCUUCUUUGGCUGCCUCCUCAUCCAUAUAUUGAGCAACACCAAUAGUAAGCUCGUCCAUCUUCAGAUCAGGAUGCUGCUUCCCUAGGACGGCCAUGAUGCAGCGAUAAGAAUGCCGAAGCCCCUGGUCAUAUUGGUUGUCAGCUUCCUUCUCUAGGUUUUCAACCUGAACCUGGUAGGAAUCUUUGAGAGAUUCGAGCUGAGCCUCGUAAGUAGCCUUUUGUCUCUGCAGGUCCUCCUUGACCUUAGUCAGCUCCUCCUUAAGAGUGAUUCCCUUUGCCUGUGCGAGAGACUCUCGCUCUAUCAACUUCAGAUUCUCAAGGUUGAGAUCUCUGGCUUUCUUCUCGGCAACAUGAGCUUUGUUUUUAGCCGAUUGAACGUCUUCUCUCAUCUUUCGAUCAUAGCAGCCGACAUUCGCCUUAUAGUAAGUGGCCAUGCAGCCGAGAUGAAAAGCACUAAACUGCAUAGCCCCCACCAGCUCACUCAGAGUGCUGCCGUCAAAGUCUUCCAAGUCCUUUUUGCUGGCGAGCCUAGAAAACUUAUUGAUAUAGGGGACCAGAUGCUCUGCUCAAUUGUCGGGCAAGCGAGGGUUCGACUCUGUUGGUGGAGGAGGGGAAGUGGGAUCAGUGGUUGUUCCAUUACUUUCGCUGGCUUUGGUAGGAAGAGGUGGUAGAGUCCUCAAGGGGGGACCUGCUCCGUGAUGUUCACCCGUUUCGUAGAGGGAGCAUCCUUAUCCUGGUCUCGCUUAGCAGCAUGAGGUCGAGGACGUUUCUGAUUCAAAGCCCCAAUCACAGCAUCCUCCAUCUUAAGAUCAGUGUGCACCAGGCGAGAUUUGAAGAAGUUGUAAGUAGAUAGCAACUCUCGGCCUGAGCAGGAAUUGGCUAACACAAUCUCGACCCGCUUGAGCGGUUUAGGUUUAAGCUUGUAGUGGACACCCAAAGAACCUGUAGUUCGAACAAAAAUUGGGUUAGAGACAAAUAAAAAAUGAGAACAACUAGGGAUACAAGACAUCUAAAGCGAGCAGACAACCUAGGACCACGAAAUUGGAGGGGACGCGAUAGUUCUUCUUGUCAAUCUGUGCAACUUGACCCUAGGGACCCCCAGUAAAAAAGAACUUUUUCUUCCAAUUUCCACCACCACCCGUUGGAAGACUAGUUAUGGGUUUCCUGGUCUUGGUACUCGACAUGAAGUAAUACCAACCGGUGUCUUUGGGGUUGCUCUUUAGCUGGUACAUGUGCUUUACCUUAUCAAUGGUGGGCUCACUCUGGCAGCAUCUGUCCCACAAUAUGAACAGACCAGAAAGUACCCUCCACCCGUUGGGGUUAAGUUGACUAGAAGCUAAGUUUAACCCACUAAGCAUUCGGGCAAAAUAGGGUUGUAGGGGGCACCUCAUCCCUAACUUAAAACUCUCUAGAAAAAGAGUAACGUAUCCCCUGGGAAGCCGACUGGGAGUAUCAUUUUUUCCUGGGAUCCUAAGGGGUAUAUCAUCAGGAAUGUCAUACCUAGUCCGGAGGUCAACGAGGUCGUGCACGUGAUGAAGUCAAUAGCGUAAUGCUCCGAUAAAGCCUUACCUCCUACUUUGUUCUUCCUAUCUUGUCGCGAUGUUCCUAGUGAGGACAUUUCACCAGAAUCUUCUCAUGGGUCCUCACGCAGGGUAUCUUCCGAACUAGAAGAUCCCUCGCCGCCGCUAUUGCUAGUUGAAGAGGUUAUUUGGGGAGACAUCCUCCUAGCACUUGUCCCAAUACUAGAUCUAAUCGGUUCUAAAGGAAUCCCAGGGUCAAAGGCAGAAUCGGCGAGUAGACUAGGCAAGAAGUCUAACUCGUCGUCAUCAAUCUCAAUUACCUUUUCUUUGCCUUUUGACAUUUCCUAAACUAUGACCAGAGCAAUAUCACCAAACACUACCCAAGCAAAAUAGAGAGAAAAGAAAUUUUCUACAACUAUCCAAAACUGAAGAAAUAGAAAUAAUACAUGUAGUUGUGGCCCAGCCGAAUAGAGACAAGGAAGGUAGCUUUUACGUCGAGGGAGAGAAAUUGCUCAGUCACCGGAGAGGUAGAAGAGGGCUAAGAGACGAGUUUCCUUUUUGAUUUUAUAAAUAGAGAAGUAUCAGCUCUAGAAUUGUUAAAUCCCCACCUAACAAGACAGCUCUUGAGUUUUUCAUACCAAGCUCUUAGAGCUUGCUUCAAUCCAUAAAGACCUUUGUUAAGUUUGCAAACAUAACCAUCUUUUAAUGAAAACCCCUCAGGCUGAAUCAUAUAUACAUCUUCAAUAAGGUCACCAUUGAGGAAGGCAUUAUUCACAUCAAUUUGCCUCACUUUCCAUCCUUGCAUGACAACUAUACUCAGAACAACUCUCACUGUUGAAGAUUUCACUACUGGGCUGAAAGUUUCUGAGUAAUCAAUACCAACUGUUUGAUGGAACCCUUUUGCAAUCAACCGUGCUUUGUAUUUAGAAAUUGAGCCAUCUGUAUUAUACUUGGUUCUAAACACCCAUUUAUAGCCGACCAGCUUAAGCUAUGAGGACAUGGGCACAAGUUUCCAAGUAUUAUUUUUAAUGAGAGCAUUGUAUUCAGCUUGCAGUGCCUUCUUCCAUUUAGGAUCAGAUAAUGCUUCUUUAGUAGUUGAGGGUUCUAGAUUGUUAUGAGCUGAUAAGAAAGCUUUGGGCUUAAAAACACCAGCCUUUGCUCUAGUGAUCAUGCUGUGAGUAGGAAUUAUUGGUUUGGAUUUUUGAGAUGUAGAAUAUGGAAUAGUUUGGGAUGGAAAUGUAUUUGAUGAGGUUUGUAAGUUCUGUAAGGUGGAUGGUAUAAUUGUUUAGUGAGAUGAAUGAGAGUUCUGUGAUAUAGAUUGUGUUUGUAAAUCAGAUGAUGAAGGUACAAGUGAUGUGUUGUGUGAAUAAGUUGAUGAGGGUAUAGGAGAGAAUGAACCAUGUACUGCAGCAUCAGCUUCAAGAUUAUUCAAAUUGCUAUUGGAAACAAAUAUGGUGUAAGACUGAAGGAGAUUAUAUUUAAAAUCAGAGGGAUUGGGCUUUAAAGAAGAAGCAAUAGCAUCAGUUGAAUAGGGAAAAAAACGUUUCAUUAAAUAGAACAUGACUAGCUAUGUAGAUUUUGCCUGAGGAAUGCAAGCAUUUAUACCCCUUUGUGUAUAGGACUGUAGCCCAGAAAUAUGCAUUUAGAAGUGUGAAAAUAGAACUUUUGUUUAUUGUAUUCUCUAAGAAAAGGAAAGCAAGAACAACCAAAAGUUCUCAUAAACUUGUUAUCUGGUUUGUGAUGAAACAUACACUCAUAGGGUGAUUGCAUGGAUAAUGUAGGAGUGGGUAGUCUGUUUAUGAUGUAAGCUGCACUAUGGAAGGAAUCCCACCAAAACUUAAUAGGUAGAGUAGCUUGUGCAAGUAAGGUUAACCCCAAUUUAGUAAUAUGUCUGUGUUCCCUUUCUACCAGGCCAUUUUGGUAGUGAGUAUAUGGGCAAGAGUGUCUAAAUUGAAUUCCUUCUUUGUGAAUAAAAUCAACAAAUGGUUUGAAUUUCCUACCCCAAUCAGAUUGAAGGGAUUUGAUUGAUCUUUCAAGUUGCUUUUCUACUUGUGUUUUGAAGAUUUUGAAAACAAAUAGUGUCUCAUCCUUAGGGAUGGCAAUUUUUGAGUCUGGGUCCGGGUUUGGCUGUUCCAGAUCCGGACCCGGACACUAAAUUCUUAUUAUCAGACCCACAUUGAACUCGGUUUUUUUCCAUCCGGGUCCGGUCCGGGGUCAACCCGAAAAAAUCUGAGUUUCCGGAUUUCGGGUUUUGAACCCAGAUUGCUUUACUUAACUUAAGUUGAUGGAAAAGGAAAAAAAAAAGAACACAAUUACUCAAACCAGAACCAAAUUGCUUCCAGAAUCCAGAUUACUUUAGUUUAGCAACCAGAACCAAAUUGCUUCCAGAAUACAAAUUGCUUUAGUUUAGCUCAACAAAAUUUCAAAUAAAAAACAUAUAACUUAUCCAGGUUCUAAAACAAAUACAACACAACAUAGAAUUUAAAAUUCAAAAUUUUAAAGUAAUAAACAUCCACAAAUACAAAUCCAUAACAUAAUUCUACAAUUUAAAGUUCAAAUUUCAAACCACUAGUGCUAAAGACUAAACUCUCAAUCAUCCACUUCAUUUGACUAUUGUUCACUCAUCCAACUUUCAUUAAUCAAAUGCUCAGCAGAAAGUAUUGCUUCCUCUGGAAUUCCAUCUACAAAAAAUAUGUAAAUCAUAAACACAAUGAACAAGACAACCAAUUAGUGAUAAAUUAAUAAUAAGAACAAUACAACAAAUAAUUUGAUUCUAAUAAAUAAAAUUUGCAUACCUUUUAGGUUUUGUUCAAGCCAAAACCAAUUUCGAGUACACACCAAUGCCUCCAUUAUGGAUGUGUGAAGUAUACUGCGAUGAGGGCUCAAAUGUCUACCUUCAGUGCUAAAAGCGGACUCCGAAGCAACUGUUGAUAUAGGAAUGGCCAAAAUGUCCCUUGUGGUCUUUGCAAGUAUAGAAUAUUUGCCUUGAUUAUUCUUCCACCAUGACAAAAUGUCAAAUUGACUAGUUAAAGGCAAAGUACUCUCCUCAAGAUAAAGCUCUAAUUCUGAUUUGGAAUGAGUAUUCUGUGUGUUUUCAUUUCUAAAUAAUGCCCACUCAUCAGCCAUUUCAUCCAAAUCUAAGUCCAACAUAAUAGAAUCCCCUCCUGAAGCAGCUUGAGAAUUGGCACCAUUAACCCCCCACUUGAAUUUGAUAGAUGCUUUACUUCAUACUCAUGCACUAAAUCAACAAAUAACUUAUGCACUCUUUUAAUUUCGGAUUCAUCUUUUUCCCCAUAUAUUUUAGGAAAUAAAAAGUUAAUCAGUAACAUUUUACGGCUAGGAUCUAACAUAGUCCCCACUGCAAGAACUCCAUGAAUAACAUCCCAAUACUUUUCAUACUUCGUAAUCAUCCUAGUGGCCAUAUUUUUUAUCCCCUCAAUUGGUGAUUGCAACCAUGCAUUCAUUGACAAUCUAAUUUCACAAAUCUUGGCAAAAAAUAAAUUAGAUGUCGGAUAUCAUGUCCCCGGAAAAAAGUUCUAUCAACUUAUAAAAGCUUUAUAGAUACUCACACAUAAGCUUUGAAAAAUUCCACUCUGACUCACUAGGUAAAGAUGUAUAAUUUCUCUCACGUUCCUUUAAAUGAUCAAAUACAUCUUUAUACAAUAAUGCAAUACUAAACAUCAAGUAAGUGGAGUUCUAUCUAGUUUUAUAAUCAAGUACCAAGUUUUUGGUUUCCUUAAUAUCUAAUUGUUUUUUUACAUUCUUAAAAUUUUCAACUCUAGCUGGUGUUGCUGUCCAAUAAUGAACACUAUCUCUAAUUUUCUCAACUCCAUUUUGUAUCACAGACAAACCAUCUCUAACUAUCAAGUUCAAUAUAUGAGCACAACAACGCAUAUGAAAGAAUUUGCCACCCAUAAUCAUUGAACUAGCAGAAAAUUUCCCCAACAACAAGGCAAUCAUAGAAUCAUUUGCAGCACAAUUAUCAACAGUUACAGUGGACAACUUUCUAUUUAUAUUCCAAUCUAUCAAACAACCAUAUAACUCAUUACACAUUACCUCAGCACUAUGUGGAGCUGGCACAUAUAUAAACCUAACAAUGUGAAAAAAAUAAUUAAAAUAUUAGACAGGACACUAAUUUAUGCUUAAACAAAAAAAAAAAUAAGUUUUAAGAAUAUUACCUCAUAAUACGACUUCGCAACACCCAUGAGCUCUCAAUGUAAUGUGCCGUAAUAACCAUGUAUCCUUUUUUUUUUUGUUACUAGCAGUCCACAUAUCUAUAGUAAUUGCGAUUCGACUCUCACAAGUUUCCAAAAUACCUAUUGUCUUCUUCUUUUCAACAUCAUAAAGCUUCAAAAUUUCAGCUUUGAAGGUGUUUCUACUAAUAGUCUCAAUAGAAGGUUGGAGUAGCUUCAACAAGUCAUAAAACCCAACGUACUCAACCAAUGCCAAGGGGAGCUCAUGUAGUACAAUCAUUGUAGCCACAAAAAGCUUUAUUGUAGCCAUAUCCCAUUUUGAUUCAGAACUACAAUUACUAAGUGAAGUGGUUCCACCAACUUUAGAAGAAAAAGAUAAGUGCAUUUGCUGUACAUUCUUGAAUGACCUUCUAGGACAACGUUUAGCAUGGUUUAUUAAGUUAUUAGUACCCCCCGAAUAAUGUCCUUGCAUAACUAACCCACAGUAAUUGCAAAUCGCCUGAACUUCCUCACCCAACUUAACUUUUUUGAAAUGAUUCCAAGCAUCAGAGACUACUCUACCACUACCACCUCGUUUUUGUGAAGUAACAGGAUUAGUAUUAUCCCUACGGCCACGGCCACGACUACCCCCCUGAACUGCUACUAUUGAAUUUGGUUCUAAUUCAACAGUUGUAUCAUUAUUAUUUUCUGAUUUUGUCAUAACUCUCACACAAACACUUUCAUCACUUUUUUUGGAGGCAUCCAAGUCAAUUCUUUGUUCAUUUUCCAUAUCAAUUUUUCGCUCUACAAAAAUUAUGUCAAGACAUAAUUAAUUCCAGAAACUUCUUCUAAUUUAUAUGCUAUGUUUAAUCGUAAAAACUAUAAAUAUUUUAGAGAUACCAUUUCUAUUAUAUUAACAACAACAAUAAAAAAUAAUUCAAAAAUAAAUAAACUAUAAAUAAUAAAGUUGAAGCAUAACUAAGUAUAGAUAUUAAAAAUCACAGAGUUUAGCUAUUAAAGUUACAAAGUAAUGUCAUAAUCAAUUUUUUAUUGUAUGUGUCAUAUAAUUUCUAUUUUAAUUUUUUACGGCUACUCUGUUAUGUUGUGGCAGCCAGAUGAAGUCCUCCUUUGAUGGUUGUCAAAGCCAGCAAAAAUAAAUACCUACUCUAAAUAAAUGGUGUAUAGUGAUUGAGCAGGGUCGUGUCCACAGAGAUUGGUAAUUAUUUAAAUCCUUUUAAAAUGUAAAAUGCAAAAUGGGGGAUUGUUGACAAUAAUAAAAAUCAAAUUAAAAUAACAAGAAUGCAAAUUAAAAUUGUAAUUCAAAUUGGGAAAAAGCUAUGGUUGAAGGAAUUAACUCAGCUUGAUUCGACUACUGAUCAUUGAUUCAAAUAUAAAUCAUUACUACUUAUGAAUUGACUGGUUAUAGCUACUGAGACCCUCUAAUAGCCAAUCUCUCCUUAACUAGUCGAUAACCAAGGUACGACCAUUGGUUAUUUCCCUAAAUCAAUAGACAACUGUUGGUAAAUUUCUAUAAGCAAUUAUUAUCAAUGCCAAUGUGCAAGUAUACACAACAAGUAAUAAAGUGAUGAGUAUUCAAGAUUGUCUCCACAGGGAUUGAUGUUACUCAAAAUGCUAAAGCAAAUCACAAUAAUGCAAAUUAAUUAAGGACCGAAACAAACAAUUGUCAAAUAAUUCUAUGUAACUAAUAGUUGUGAGAGAAGAAAAUAAAACAAUACUGUAAUGAAAUAAACUGAGUUGAAUGUGUCUAAAAUUCAAUUGAGAAUAUAGUAGUUGAAUGAUCAAACUCUCCUAAUGGGAUGACUGUUGUUUACCAAAUUAGUACCAGUUAUUACAAUAAGUGCUGCAACAAUGGGUAGAAUAAAUUUGCAUCCGCAGUUAUCCCAUGUUGGAAAUCUCAUACCUUUAAAUCUACUAACAAUGACCAGUUGCUCAUAUAUUUAUGGUAUGGCAUUAUCACCUUUAAUCUCUCUACUCUACAAGGUGAACACCUAUGUCUAGAGUGUCACAAAUCUUAACUUCAAGUAUUGCCCUUAUAGGAUUCAAGAUAACCUAAUCCAGGAAACUCGACUUAAGAACAAGUAAUACUCUAAUAACGUCCGCUAAGACAUGCCCUUUUGCUGCUCUAUCUUAACUAAAACUAUUAAAUGGGUGGUCAACCGAAAUAACAGUUGUAUUUAUAAAAACUACUAGAGUAAAAUGCUACAGCAUUACCAUAACAACAUAAAAGAACAGUCAAGACCCCAUUGGAUUAUUUGUCGCUCAACCACAAAUAAAUUUAGUUCAUAAUCUGGAUGAGAAAAGUAAACAUAAAUAUAUUGGUCUCAGAAUACAUCAAAUCAAUUAAAGGAAAAAAAUAAAUAUAAGUUGAGCAUAAUGAAAAUCAAAGUCAAGUAAUUCUGCACGAUUGUCCAAUGUUGCCGAAACAACACUCUUCAAUUAUGAUAUUCUUCUCCUUCGUUCCUUUUAAUUACUCUAAUGAUAAUUCCUUGCCGCCCUUCUAUGUGGUGCACACCUCCUUUUUAUAUUGCGAAUUAGGUUAAAACCAAAGCCCAUGAGCGUGCAUGUGUUUAAAUUAGGAAACAUGCAGAUCGCGACUUUAUGGCUGACUCACGCCUAAAUUUUCUCCCGUACUGCUCCUAAAUUGCUACAGCACUGGUUGCUCUAACAGCCGCUACAACAUUGUUUUCUUCCCGAUUGUGCUUUACUUCUUUUGUGGUCAUCUUCCUUCCUCCUCUUGCUCUUCUAAUGCUUCAACAUCCUCUCACAAAUUUAAAACCUACAAUUUAAAACCUGUUUUUAGCACAAAUUACUAUGAUUCAAUCAAAACUUUUUAAAACUCAACUAAAAUGAAUGUUUAUGCAAAAGGUACCCAAAAUGUAAUAAAAACACCUUAUUUGUUCUCUAAGUGGCCUUGAUUCAAGUCUAGAAUUGAUGUAAUAACUCUCAUUUCCUAGAGUUAUCAACAACCCUAGAUACGAUCAUAGGAUUUAAUCAAUUGACAGCCUAAAAAACCAGAGAGACCAAAAUCCUAAUCAACAAACGCAUACGAUGGUUCAUUUAAAUUAGAUUGUUUAUUCUCAUAACAUAACGCACUGCUAUGUUAUUUGUCACAAACAUUAAAAUCUUCAUAUGAUAAAUCUUUUAAUUGAUAAUAGAUUAAAUUGAUAAUUAAAUAGUGGCCAAUUAUCUAAUUAACAAACAUAAUCAUGACAAUAAUAUAGAGAAUAAACAAAUACCCAAAAAGCAAUAAAACAAUUAAAGCAUAAGAAAGAUCUCACAGUAAUGUUGAAUCAAAGCUUUAUUAAUCUUCAACCAGAAUAAUAGGUUUAAUUCUUCAUAGAGAGAAGAGAAAAAUCUAGAUCUAGGGUUUUUUUUUAUUUGAUCCCCUUCAAAAAUCUACCUGCCCUUUGUUUUUCACGUCUCUUCUCUCUUAUAGAGUUCUUCCAAAAAUAAAAUACUAAUAUCUAAAAUAUUAUCUAAAUAUUAAAUUCAAAAUUACAAAAAUAACUAAAAAGACAAAACACGUUAAAAUAAAAACUGCAGGUCCUUAGUUGACAGCACGUGCCCAUGCCUUAUCAACAAUGUUCUUCUAAAGCUCAUAAUUUCUCCAGGAAAAUAAUCAUCCUCAAGCAUCAUCUUGUAGCUCAAUUUUAGCAUCAAUCAAUAGAAUUGCACCUACAAGAAUAAAACACAAGUAAAUCAUUAUUAUUAAGUGCAAAACGUCGAUAUUAAAGGAAGUAAACAAUACAAAACUAGUGCAUAAAUUACACUCUAACAUCCUUCACACGACACAAAGUCACAAACAGAGCAAAACAACACAUAAAUUGCAAACACAAUCUAAUUAAAUUGUGAAGACAGUAUAAUCAGAGCAUAACAACACAUAAAUUACAAAGACAAUAUAAUUAAAUUCCAAAAAGAGUAUAAUCAGAGCAUAACAGCAGGUAAAUUGUAAAGACAAUAUAAUUAAAUUGCAAAGAGGGAAUAAUAAAAAAGUAAUAGAGCAUAAACUGUAAAGAGAAAAGCCAAGACUCACAAAUAUUCACAGCAGUAGCUUAACGCAGCCGCACCGUGAGAGAGUGAGAGAGAUUAAUUGAGAAACGGGUGAGACUUGAGAGAGAUUGAGAGAGGAACCGAACAGAUGAGAGAUUGAGAGGAGAAAUUACAGUAGAGUUGAAGAGAGUGAGAGAUCGAGAGAGCAAUGAGUGAGAGAGAUUGAGAUUUGAGAGAGGCAGAGAGCCAAGACCGAGAGGAAGUGAGGAACGAAUUGAGAUUUGAGAGAGCUAGGUUUUUUUUAUUUAUAUUUAUUAAUUUCUAAAAAAUUAAUAUUAAAAUAAAUAAUAUAUGGAUCCGGGUUUUGGAUUUGCGGGUUCACUUGAAACCGGAUCUGGACGUAUGUGGGUUCUAAAAAACCGAUCCGGAUUCCGCAUUAAAUUUGUUCCGGUGCGGGUUGAACCCGGAUCGGAUUAUCCAGGUUCAGUCUGGGUUCGGUUGCCAUCCCUACUCAUCCUUAGUUUUUAGAGGAAAGAUCCAUGUAAAUCUAGUGUAUUCAUCAACAAAGCUUACAUAGUAUCUAUACCCCUGAAUUGAAAUUAUAGGGGCAGGUCCUCAAAGAUCAAUAUGUAUGACUUUAAGAAGAUGAUUGGUUUUUGUUUUUGUUGCUGGAAAAUGUAAUCUGUGCAUUUUUCCAACUUUACAAGCAUCACAGGAAUCACUAACUUUGUUUUUAUUGACAAACUUGAAAGAUGGACAAGACUGAAUUACAUGAGUUAGAAUUCUAGAAUUUGGAUGACCAAAUCUUUGAUGUAAUACAGAUGUACUCAACAAACAUUUGGAGUUUACACAAUCAUCUGUUGCAGUAGGCAAACAAGAAGUUUUAUUUUUGAAAUCAGACUCAACAGCAGAGAACAUUAAAAGAGGAGUUUCACUAGCUACUGCCUCAAUACCAGCAACAUGACUUUGAAAGGUUGUCGAAGGAAUUAUUGUUUUAGAGGAAACCAAUAGCAAUUUGUAUAAUCCCUUUUCAGCCUUACCUUGUAGCAUGAUCAAGUUCUUCACUUUGUCCUUCACAAAACAAAAUUUAUUAGUGAACUCAACUACAACAUUAUUAUCUUUAGUUAGCUGUGAUAUGCUAAUCAGAUUUUUGGUGAUUUGUGGUACAAGAAGUAUGUUAUUUAGUUUAAUUGUGGGAGAGGUAAUUAAGUUCUUUAGCUUAAACACAACAUGACCAACAUGUGUUAUGCACAAACUAGCUCCAUUUCCAACAAAAAGUUUAGAAGUACUUGUGAAAGCUUCACUGAUAUGCAUAUUACUCACAUCAUUUGUAAGAUGGUGUGUUGCACCACUGUCCAGGUACCAAUUACUAUCAGAUGGUCCAUCCAUGUUGGCUAGAUAUGUUGACCUUGGAUUUCUAUUUGGUGGUGGUCUAUAAGCACCAGAAGCCAUGAAUUCAGCAAGUUUCCAGCAGACAUUUGCAGUAUGUCCAGUUUUGAAGCAAAUCUGACAGGUUGGUUUAGAAGUAUUCCAAUUAGGUUUAGUGUUUCCAAAAGUUUUGGAGUUAUUGAAAUCACUAGGUCCAGCAUCUUGAUUCCAAUUUCCCCCACCACCUCUUUGAUUAUCUCCCGGAUAGCCUCUGUGCUGUGCAUUAGUACCAAAAGCAUUAGUAGAAUAACUAGAGUUUCCUUAUCCUCCUCUAUAAUCAUUAUUACCAGAUUUUUCAUUAUAGCCAUAACCAGAACCGUAUCCAAAAUUAUCAAAACCUUUUCCUCCUGACAUAUUUCCUCUCUUAGGUCCUCUGUUUUGAGAAAAAUUAGCCUCAAAGUUUUAUUUUACAUCUAUACCAGCAAGCAUAUGAUUUUGUUGCUCAAUCCUAGCCUCUUGAGUUAAAAGCAUAAGAUAGGCUUCAUUAAUAUUCAUCUUCCCAACACCUACUUGUCUAGUGAUACAUGUGGCAACAGAAUUAUAAUAUGGACCUAAGCCAGAGAGUAUGUGCAAAAUUAAAUCAUCAUCACUCAAAGUACUUCCAUCUGCAGCCAUAUUAUCAACAAUAUUUUUCAUCUUAAUAAAGUAGUCAGUGAUCUUCAAAUAAUCUUUUCUAGUGGAGUUCAUCAUGUACCUUAAGUGCAGAAGUCUAGAUUUAGAUUGUGAUCCAAACUGAGUUUCAAUAGCUUUCCAUACCUCCAAAGAAGUUUCCAGGUUGAAUACAAGACUGAUGAUGCCUUCACUCAUUGAGGAGAGUAACCAUCCGAGAAGCACUUGAUCUUGUGAGCGCCAUGUUAUGAAGUCUGGAUUUUCAACAAAUCUGAGAUCAUCACCAACUCUCUGAGCAAUGUGAGAAGCAAGUGGAGUGAUAGAUUCAUCAAUGAACUUCUCAAGUCUGUUACCUCGAAUUGAAGCUAAGACUUGUGACCUCCAUAUCAGAUAGUUUGACUGAUCAAGUUUAACAGGUGUAUUAAAAGUAAAGGUUACAGUCGAUGAGUUGACAUUAGUAUUCUGAAUUGGUGUAGAGGAUGAAGCAAGAUUUACUGAGGCCAUAGCUGGCUCUGAUACCAAGUUGAAAAACAAGAAAAUGAUGUUUGGAUACUGAGAAAGUUUUGAAAGAAGAAUUGAGAGGAAAUAUUCCAGAUCUUUCUAAUUCAUUUCAUUGUUCAUAAAAACAUAAUACAAUGAAGUUUAUUUAUAUAUACAAGAAUGCUGAACUGUAAUUAAGCUAAUUUCAACUAACUCUACAACAAACUAUUUUAGCUAACUUACUAACUAAUCAUGCACGUGUGACUUUGUAACCAUAUGAAGCCAGCUGGUAAUCCUUCUCAGCAACUUGUUGUGCUUCCUUAACAGCUGGUUUGAGAAGGCCAACUUGACAGAUUAAUUCCUUUUAAUAAUGGUCAAGAUAAUUUUAAUCUUCUCGUAAAAAAUUCUUACACACUUAUAUAUGAUAACGCCAUACAAAUGUAAUCAGCAUUGUCUUGUGCUGUUUUCUUCACUAAAGAUCUUCAAUCAAAACAGGUUAGAAAUCAAAUGCUUAACAUAGAAGUUGAAACAAAAUCUAAUUGAAUAUUGCAUGAAACAUGAAACAUCAAUUCAAGUCCUUCCUCAAACAGAGAAUGCAUCAAACAAAUCCAAAGUAUCUUGCAAGUCUGUAGCAUAAGCAAAACGCUGUAAAUACAUUUGGGGCAUUUAGUGUAAAUGUGUAUGAUAAAAAAUAUUUCUGGGAUUUAAUUUUUUGAUGGUUUUGUGUUUACGGUAUGUGAUUUGUUUGGAUUAAUGUGAUGUGUGUUCAUGCAUGCAAAAUUAGAGCAUGCCCAUAUCAAGAUUUUGUCUUAUUAUUAUUAUUAUAAUCAUUAUUUUUUUAUCUGAAUUAUGAAUUUAUUGAUUGGUUGGGGUCUUACAUGAUAAAUCCAAUUUAAUCUUAGAGACACUUUUAAUUUUUUAUUCUUUUUCUUGUUCAUGAUUGGUUGAGUUGUACACAUGAAAAGAAUUUAGUGGAAAUAUUUCUCAAUACUUGUAUGUGUUGGUACCUCUGUAUGUCAGUGAAUCAUGGUUACUCGUUUGAUAUCCUAGAAUCAACGUAGAAAUGCAUGUGGGAGGCUCUGUUCACUUUGAAGAUUGCGAAGAUUUAAUUUUGAGAAAGACAAGUCGAAGUAGAGAUAGAUCAUAAAUUUCCAGUUUGUUUUCAGUCAAAGCUUAAUUGUCGAAUACUUUCUUAAUAAAACUUGCAUUAUAGAUUUCUAUUUCCCGUACACGUUAGUGUGUCCAUCUUUGAACAUAGUGUACCUUACAGCUAACAGCACUCACACCGUUCGGCACAAGUUUCUUUAGUAAAUAUUCAUGCUGUGUAAGUGUGAUUGAAAAAUGAAGGGGAAAAAAAUCUUAAUUGUAUCCAUUACUUCAUAUCCAAAUUUUUUCCCCUGCUCUGGAAUGCUGUAUCAAUAUGGUAUGUCUGGUUGCAGUCAUGCUUCACUGUGGCCUGUGAGCUACCAGAAAUUGAUAAAUUCAUGGUUGGUUGAAGUAAUUUAAUCUACCCGCACCAAUUUAAAUUACCCAAAUAAAUGACUGGUUUGGUACUUCUAAAGCAUCGCCCAGUUGUGAAUACUCAUCAAAGGUAGAAGGUUAGACCAACCUUAGUACCAAAUGACACGUACAACACAAAUCCAUGUGGCUUCAAAUACAACAUUGAACGAUCUCAUCUUCAGCCAUGUUAGAACUCCGUCGGUUGGUUCUCAUCUCACGAUCGUGAACCAUGGAACCGGCUGAUUUGUGAAAUUGUUCGGGUAGCAAUGGAGCGACUUCCCAAACUGGCUCCCCAAGUUGAGAGAAACAAUACCUCAAUAAGAGUUCAAUGGUGUAGGCAGCAUCCAGCAGAGUCAUUUCAACGAAUUUAAUCAACACAGCUUAAUUCGAUUUUUUCUGCAUAAGAACCGAGUAAUUCUGCUUCUUUGAUCUUUAUGACUUGAACAAACUCCUUAAACCUUAUUUCGUCCGUUGAAGAAAGUCUUGGAGGCACCGCUGUUUAUGUUCUUCCAUGAACUGUAAGUUUGCUUUGCCAUGGUGAAGAGGUAUCCUCUUAUGAAUUUAGUUUAUAUCAAAAUAUGAGAGAGUCAAUAAUUGGAUGCAAGUCAAUAGCUGCAUGCAAUCUGAGGGCUAACAUUUGUUUGAUCAUUAUGUUAAAAAAAAAAAUGUUAUAAAACAGGAUUGAUUGAUGGCCUUUAACAGUCAGUUCUAUGACAAAGUAACCACCACAAAAAAGGGAAUCACAAGACAUCAAGAAGCUUGAACUUGGCAGGGGGUCUCAUUAGCAGUACGCCUCAGAAAUUAAGACAAAGACAAAGUGCAAGCUUAUGGAGCAAUUUAAGCACUGAAACUAAUAACAGUGAUAGACGAAGGUGCAGAAGUAUGGUAUUGGCAAUUGACCUCUGCUUUUGCUUAGACACAGGUUCUCAUUACAAAAGACUUAUUAGUAGCCCUCACCUAACAUGUUUGGAUGUUAAGGGGAAAAAGAAAGUUUGAAUUAUUCAAUCUCAUUUCUAAUGGCAUUCAUGGAGAAUCUAUAAAACAAAAAAAUAAAUAAAAAUUUUCAUCCAUGAAAAGCUUAGUAAUGGAAAAACCGACUCGUUUAUCUACCGCUGACCUAAUCCGGACUCAUUUAAUUAAAAAAGAAUACAAAGCCAAACUAAAAGACACAAAUUGCAUACAUGUCUAGGAGCCAUAUCAAAGCUGUUAUAUAACUUAUCCAAUUAUUAAAUUCUCUUACGGGUCAUAGCGUGCUUACUCAUUUCGAAAGCAGUUAAUGAUAAGAACUUUCAUCAUUAAUUGAUAUGGCCAAUGUAGAAAAACGGAAAAACCCCUCCAACAUCAAAGCACAAGGAUGAGUUUAGAAUUACACUUCUUAAUUACUUUUUUUUUAAUAAAUAAAAGUCAAUAUGAAAAUAGAAAAUAGUUUUGAAUUAAAAAAAAGUUUUGAAUAACUUUUUUUUUAAAAUGAAUAGAAAAACAGGGGAAUGAAAAGAUGGCCUCCGUUUCUCGUCUGUUUUGUUUUUACUGUUAUUAAACAGGGGAAUGAGGAAAGAGAUCCCCUGUCUCUACUCUGUUUUGAUUUUUUUAUUACUAAACUGGGGAAUGCAAAGAUCAAUUCUUGUUGCAAUCGCAAAUUUUUGUUUCUACCUUAGUACCUUCUAAAUGCUGCAUGCAUUAAAAUUAAUCUUACAUACGCUAAAAGUUCUGGAUAUAUCCAAAUUAUAUAAUGAUUUUAAAAGUUCAAAUUUAGCACUUAAUUUUAUAUGUUUGUACAUAAAUUUAAUGUGGGUAUCGUAUAUUGCAUUGUUGUUAUUCACAUUUUUUGUAUGCUGCAAUGAUCUCAAAACGGUAAAAUGCUUCGUGUGUCUCUUCUUUAUGUUUCUCGUUUCUGUGCAGGCAAAUCCUUCAUUGCAUAGUACUCUUCAGCUUGUACAAAGACGGCAUGCAUUUAGGUAUAAAUUCUUACACACUUAUAUAUGAUAACGCCAUACAAAUGUAAUCAGCAUUGUCUUGUGCUGUUUUCUUCACUAAAGAUCUUCAAUCAAAACAGGUUAGAAAUCAGAUGCUUAACAUAGAAGUUGAAACAGAAUCUAAUUGAAUAUCGCAUGAGACAUGAAACAUCAAUUCAAGUCCUUCCUUAAACAGAGAAUGCAUCUAACAAAUCCAAAGUGUCUUGCAAGUCUGUAGCAUGACCAAAACGCUGUAAAUACAUUUGGGGUCAAAUUAUUCAAGUACAAAAAAACGAACAAGUUGAAUCAUGGAUAAGAGAUUGUCCUGGUUCGAGAUAGCUUCUUUAUUGUACUUGAAGGGUGGGCUCAAUCUUUUCUUCAGAAUUUUGCACAUUUUGUAAUUAUUAAUGUGUAAGCAAGCAUACAAUACCACCAUCAUCAUCAUCAUAAUAAUAGUAAUUAAAAAAAUAGCAAGAGUAAUGAUGCGACCACAAACUCUUUUGUACAAAUAAUAUUGUAUAAACUAAUGUAACAUAAUACGAUUGGUUAAACUAAAACAUCCAAUGACCCUCAUGAUUUAUUUUUUAUUAUUAUAUAUUUCAGUCAACCAAUCAUAUUAUACCAUAUUAGUUUCUAUAAAAUAAUUUGCUAGCUAGCACCAAUAUUUAAUUAAUUAAUACUCACCAUUUCAUUGAACAAUUUUUGUAUGGUGUCAUUGAGAUUGCCUUCCCAGCAUCCUUCUUCUCCUUCGGUGAGUUUCACUUUGUUUAGCUUUGGUGUGUCUACAACUCCUUGAGAGAAAAUCUUCAUCUUUGGACACUGUCUCACAACUACUCGUUCCAAGGACGGGAAUUCAAGAGUAUAAUUACCCAAACAAAUGCUUGUUAGUUAAGGCAAACAAUCAAGUCCCAAGUACUCCAAUUUCCUGAAAACAAUGCAAUCUUUCGCUUCUUCUCCAACUUGCGAUUGUAUGAUUUCUUCUAUCAUUUUGCAAUCAACUAUCUUCAUUUUUUUAAGAUUCACUAGACUUUUAGAUGUUAAGAACGUCAACACAUUUAUCAACCCGUGACAUUUUGAUACUUCCAGAGUCGCCAGAAUUUCCAAAUGCCAUGAAGGCGGUACUAAUUUUUGCAACUUACUACAUUCCGAUACGUCUAGACUUUGCAAAUUUGCAAAAACUUUGUUGGAUUCGGCAUUUUCCUUCCAGAGAUGCAACACAUUGGGUAAUCUAGACAGCUUUAACCGUCUCAAUUUGGGGAAUGCAACCUGAAAAUCAACAAACUUAAGUUGUAAAGAAAAUACAUAACUAAUCUCUGCAGUCCUCCCAACAUUUUAUAUUCAAAUUGGUUUCAUUUUUGGAAGGAACCAAAAAAAAACAAACAAAUUAAUUACCCUUGAAACACAUAAAUCAAAUCUAAUGCUAAAUCCAAUAUGAAUUAGCUAGGAAAACAGAGAUGUAAGGCGUAAAAUGGAUAUAAUUCACACCAUGUUACCGAUCAUCUAAUUAAUUUGAGACAUUUUUAUAAUUCUUAUUGUAAAGUUAGUUAAUAAUAACAAUAAUACUGUUAAAUCAUAUAUAAAUUAAGACAACUUCUAGGAAGAUGAGUCAUUAAAUUUGAUUUUGAGUCUAAUGAAAUUACACCUAUGCGAAUGAAAGUGAAGAAGAAAUAAUAAUAAUAAUAAUAAUAAUAAUAAUAAUAAUAAUAAUAAUAAUAAUAACCACCUUUUCAUCGAAGGGUGGUUCUAUAUGAUCAGCUAGCUGGAAGUUCUCUGAUUUUAUUUCUUGAGGUUCCUUAUUAUCCGCUGUCAUGUGCUGCGCAGACAUAGAAUUGGAGAUGAAUGUUUUCAUAUUAGGGCAAUUCUCAAUGGUCAGAUGCCACAACUUAGGUAGUUCAAUUAUACUCUCGUUGGAGUUGCAAAAUCUUUUGAGUUUUGGAAGAUCCAUGAUUUUUAGUUCCCGUAGUAAAGGAAAUAGUAGACCAAAAUGUUCUUUGUUAGUGAAUUAGAUGAAGCUGGAGCAGAGCAUGAUGUUGCUAUGUAGCUGGUUGUAGCAGAUCAAAUCAUUAAGCUAACCUGUCAAAGUUAGUUAGCUGGUUGAGCUUAUGUGUCAAGUUAGUUAUACAGCAAAUGGUUAUGUGUUGCAACAAUCUCGUGUGUGUGUAAAGAGAUUGUAGCUCAAUAUAAAUAUUAAUCAGUAGUCAUUAAACUGUAAGCUUGGAAUAAUAAAAGAUCCAACAGAUUUCUUUGCAAAGCUCUUUUUUUUUUUUCUUUCAUUUUCUAGCCUACCAAACAAUAUAGAACUAAGUUUCUUUCAUGGUAUCAGAGCCAUAAAUGGCAAAUAUAGUUCAAAACAACAACUCUUUCAGUUUUGUUACGCCAUGUUACGCCAGUAAAGCUAGAUCAAAACAACUUCAUUCGGUGGCGCACACAAAUUUUAACUUCAAUCAAAGGAAACAGUUUGGAAGGGUUUAUCAAUGGCGAUCGAGAAUGUCCUGAGCAGUUCCUUUCUUCUGGAAACAACAAUGGAGCUGAAGUUUUAACUGAAUCUGGAUCCAGAUCUAUUAAUCCAGAAUUCGUAGCUUGGAUGAAGACUGACCAACUCUUACUGAGUUGGAUGAUGUCAUCGAUACAGCAAAAUCUGCUUGCUACUGUGAUUGAUUCUACAACUUCAAAACAGCUUUGGGAGACUCUUGCUAGUAUGUUUAUCUCUCAAUCACAAGCUAGAAUUCAAACACUUAGAAUGCAAAUUCAAACUAUUAAGAAAGGUGCAAUGCAUAUGUCUGAUUAUUUUGUAAAAGUAAAACGCAUAGCUGAUACUUUAGCUCUAGCUGGAAAACCUAUUAAGUUAAAUGAUCUUCUGAUGCAUAUAUUAACUGGUCUUGAUUCAUCAGACUAUGAGUCUUUAGCCACAGCUGUGUUAGCUCGAGGUGAAAAGAUCACAUUAGAUGAACUAUAUUCUUUGUUGUUGAAUCAUGAAAAUAGAGUUGAGCAAAAGAAAGGAAAAAUUGCUGGUGAUGUGAUGCAUAACAUGACAGCAAAUAUUGCUCAGAAGAACUCAAAGCUUCAACAACACUUUUAUAAUUGAGUCACAAUACAAUUUACAGUAGUGUGAGAAUCUUUUCAAGGUUACAAUCUCACAAAACUCGUGAGCACAGAUUCUAAUACACAUAACAAACUUUUGGAGGGAAGCUGAUAAGCUCUAUAACUAACUGCAAAACUGACUUCCAGCGUGGCUUGAUGACUCAGCAGCUGACUCAUCAUAUGUUAUUCUUAACACAUUUUUGUUCCUUCAACUACAACUAUCUAAUAUAAUAUUCUUUUGAUGACUGAAGAUCAAUCGUGAUAAUAUUAAUUAAAUAAUUAAUCAAUCAAUUAAUUAAUUAUUAAACAAAAAAUUUUCACCUUGUGAACAUGAUCAUCCUCUGCAAUGAUUUCUUUGAAUCCCUGAGUAGUUGUUGGUUUCUCCUUGUCGGGCCCUAUAAAUGAACAAAAACAAUAUAUAAUUAACCUCUAUUGUUUUUUUCACCAAAAAAAAAAGAAGAAUGAGCCAAUGUCAAUAAUCCUACCAAUAAUUAAUUUCAACACUUACCAAUAAUCAUUUUCAUUUCACGGCAAUCUUCCACUUCUACUUUAUGAAGCCGCAAUAGGUUUUUAGCCACAGAGAAUGAGAAGAGAUGCUUCAAUUUGCCACAAAAAGCUACUUUUAUAAUCCUUAAGUUGCUGAAGGAUUGAUCUUCUCUGAGUUGGCUGUAGCAUAUCGUCUCCAAAUUAGUUAAAAACAUAAGAGACAAUGACUCCAGCCAGGGAAAGACUUCGCAACGAACCCGUCCAACUGAACCGACAAUAUGUAAAAUCUUAGAGUUGUUGGAAAAAUAUGCUCUUUAAAAGCAUAUGUGUUUAUUUAAUUGUAAUAAACAAUUUUUCUGAUUAAUAAAAUAAAUGAGGUAUUUUAUUCAAAUAUCUUAAUUACAUUAAUAUUUGUAUUAAAGUCCAUUUAAUCAUAUUAUAUGUAUUUAUGUGAUCACCAUGUGGAUUCACAGAAGACAUAAAUACAAGUUAUCUUAUGAUUAAAUAAGUUUAGUUCGCAGUUGAUAAAUAAAGUUGGGCACUUUAUUUAGGUAUAAACUGUAAUAAAUUCAUUGAAUGAUUUGUCUUAAUCAUGUAUGAAUUUAUUGAUGUAGUACGACUACAUUGAACAGGAUCACAUAUGAGAUUUAAUUAACUUUGUAAUAACUGUCAGACUUAUUAAAUCUCAUAGGCAUUGAUUUUACUGUAAUCUUAAUCUUGAGUUAAUUAUGAUUUCAUGAUUGUAAUUGUUAUUCCAUUUGAGUUACCAAUGGGCACGACACAUACUUGUGGUCAAGAUUACCCGGUAUCUUGGUGGGAGCAAUUAUGAGUAUUGGAGUUAUGGAUUAACAAUAUAGAAUUUGUACAACACAUCUCUUGAUAGGUUUUCGGCACUUGAUCAUUGAAUUCUCUGGCCAAAGUGCGUCAACAUAUUUAGUAUGUUGAAAAUGAUCAUUAGAGAAAACCAGUAAGGAUCAAGGAAAAAGAUGGUAUUAAAUUGAUUGGACAGUUGAGAUAUCAAUUUAAUUAACGAUGUGGUACAAAGGAUUGUGCAGUAAAGAAAUCAAUGUGGCUUGGGACGAAUUAUUAUUCGAGCAUACAAUUAUGGAAGUCAGUUCCAAUCUUUUAGUGGAGUAGAUUUGGAAUUAAAUAAUUAGGCUAGUUUAAUUACAGGCCUAAUUGUUAUAGCCACUAUUGUAUGUUCCCAAAUGAUCCCCGGGUUAGCUCAUUUAAUUGACUGCACCACUACUGGACUAAUAAGCAAGAUAACUAGCUAUUUGGGCCAAAAGCCUAAAUAUAUCAUUUAGUGAGAGGCUCCAUUUAAUUAGCUUAUGUAAGGGGCCUUAUGUUAUUUUACAUGGUGGGUCCCCUAUUAAAUGAAAAGUACCGUGUAGGGUUUUCACUAAAGGGAGAUAUAUAAGGCUUAUUUUCUUAAAAGAAAAAGGUGGAGCCACUUUAUACAGAUCAGAGAAAAAGAUUUUUCUCUCUAUUGUUGAGAGAAAAAUUUUCUCGUGCUAGUUGCUUUGGUAGUGAUAAAGGCGCCCACACGUCAAGUGCAGAUCGAACCUGAGUCAUAAGCUGGAAGAUCAUUGGUGACAGUUCAUGAUCUAACAAGCGUGUUGGUGCAGGAUCGUGAUCUAACAGGAGUGGUGGUGGCGGAUCGUGAUCUAGGAGCCUAAAUCACUUCAACGGAAAAAGCCAAAUCGGAUUUUCAAGGUACGAUUUCUAGAAUACAAAUUCUUAUAUAUUAUAUGAGAGCGAUCUUCAAAAGGUUUUAUAAAAAUUUAAAAACCUGAUUUUUCCCAACAAGAGCAAUAUGUUACAUUAAGAUGCUUCAACUGUGGAAAACCUUCCCCAUCGUCUAAUUCAUGAACAACAUUCUGAACACCCUUCAGUUCCCGUAGACAAAGAUCUUCGGUUCUCUUCAUUAACAUUUUCGUCCCAUAAUUCUCCAAAAGAAUGCUAACUUUUCCUAGCCUCUUGAGUAUCAUCAAUCUUGAUGUUUCAGAUUUGACGUGCCGUUGGCCCAACUUAUCUCCGAUACAUAUCCUAUAUCUUUGCAAUUCCACAAAGACCAAAUCCUGCGGCAGAAUUUCGGCAUCUGGAACAUCUAUCUCCAAAGUAGUUAGCUUUGACAACCCCUUCAACUCGGUAAGACUGGCAUUGCUUCCUCCUUCAACCUUAUCCCACUGUGAAAAGCUGUUAUCCAUAUACAGUUCUUCUAAUCGAGAUAAUUUUGAAAUGACAUUCGGUGCUAUCACCUCAAGGUUCCAACAAUUGCUCAAAUCUAACAACCUUAACCGUGUCAAUUGUCCAAUUUCAAGUGGCAGCUGCUCAAUAUUAGAAUCUCGAAAGCUGAGAAUAUCUAACUUCUUUAGCUGUCCAAUUAUGGCUAUUUCAUUCAGUACACAACCAUCUAAACAUAAUGUUUGAACAUUGAAGAGGCAACCAAGUGAUGAAGGUAAUGAAGGGAUUCGAGCAUUAGUAAAAUGUAAUACUUUGAGUUGUUUCAUGCCUUCAAAAAAGAGGUCUGGGAUUAUUAAAGAGCUACGAAACUUUGUAAACAACAAAAGUAACUUGAGUUUUGGACAUUCCAGCCGUUCUGGAAGCUCAGAAGCCUUUCUUUUGUUUAAAGGUAGAGAAAUAGCGGUUGGUUCCUUCUCUAUUGUCCUUUCUAUCUCUUCCUUCAAGUCAGCAACAUUUGGGAUAUUAAACAUAAGCUUUUCUGAGGCAAUUGAUACAGCAAUAGCAUGAAUAAUGUCGUGCAUUUUAGCUUCAUCUUCAGCAUCACCAUCCAACAAUAAGCAUGACGAUUUGAGAAUGUCGAUCAAUGUAUCCACUCUAUUCCUUGCUGCUUCCAAUGUGUAAACAUUUUUAAACAAACCCAAACCCAUACCAUUUCUCAAUAAGGAAGGAACUUCUAGAGAAUGACCUUGACCGUAUAGACCACAAAGAAGGAACAAAGACUUUGCUUCAUCACUUUCCAAAAAUUUGUAACUCAAUUCUAUGGAAGUGUAGACAUUUGCAUCCAUUCCAUGAAUUUCUCUUGAAUUAGAAUUUCGCAGCUGAUUCAACGCAUCCUUUCAAAUGGCAAGCCUCUUAUUUUUCAGAGCAUUUGCAACUGUACUCACUGCGACUGGCAAAGCUCCACAUCUUUUAACAAUCUCAUUUGUUAUAGGUUGAAAAGCAGAUGUUUUUGUUGAAUCGCCGACUAUCUUCUCAAACAACUGCAAUGCUUCUUUGUCUGCUAAGAUUUCAAUUGAGAAAUUUUUCUGAGAUUUCAUAUCAUCAUGCAAUAAAUCACGACUUCUAGACGUCAAUAUUAUUGUCCAUCUUCUCUGAUCAUCCUCUCUACCUUUCUCAUCAACAUCUCCAGAAGGAAUUCCAACCGCAUCCAACUCAAGUUUUGUCCAAAUAUUAUCCAAUAUAAUGAGGACCCGCUUCUCUUGCUUCAACCUUUCACGCAGUCGAGAAGCUCUAUGGUGUAUACUAUCAUUCAAGUCAAAUUUCAUGCCUAAAUCAGAAGCGAGCUUGUCUUGAAUUUUCUGGGGAUCUGGGUUCUCUGUUACCCACAGCCAUAGCGACCUUAUCGAACAAGUUAUCUUCCAUCACUUGCUUUGCAACUUGCUUGACGAGCGUGGUUUUCCCCACGCCGCCCAUCCCGUAGACCCCAAUUAUCUUGAGCUUAUCGUCCUUCAACGCCUCCACAACAUCUUGAAGUACUUUCAUUCUUGAAUCAAAGGCCUCGAAAUCUUUCGCUUGCAUAUGUUCUGCCCGCUUUGGAGCAGGACGGUAGGAAACAUUAGAGAAGUUGCCUUUUCCCACGAGACUAGCGGCAGCUUCUGCGGCCUUUGCUGCUUGUUUACUAAGCUUGUAACGAGAAAUCAAGUUUGGGCACAAUCCUUUGAAGCAGGACUUCUUAGCUCUAUCUUCAACAUCAAUGAUGGAUUUUGCAACCCCUUCACUGAUGAAUUCGUCAACGCUAUGUAGCCAGUCUGUGACACCCUCAUAAAGCUCAUCCCCUUGUAGCCUAGCAUGAUUAACUGGUUGCUGCACCAUUUCUCUUUUAUAUCCCAGCUGCUUUACUUGAUCUUUUAGCUUAUCUAUGUAGCUCUAGUACUUGAACACAUAAGAUAUCUCCCGUAUAAUUGGUUUGAACAGUGACUUUGCACCUUCUGAUACGAUGCUGGAAAAAGCAGCCAGACCCACCUCUGCCAUUGCCUGCUGCUUAACAAAUCUAAUAAUAUGUCAAAUAAACUAAAAUGAACUAGAAGGAAAGACAAGAAAGGAAAAGACAGCAAACAGUAUCGCAACAUUGAUCUUGAAUCAACUGAAACAUGAACAGAGCAUUUUUUCUUCUUUAUUAAGGAUCAGAGUUUUUGCUAUUAACAGAAACGUACUUCAAGUGUCUAAAAAAACAACUAUAAAUGAACAAUAACUACAAAACUCAAGCAAAACAAGCCGUAAAAGUUUUAUCAUGGAAAGUGGAUGGAAAUUGAGAAAGAAAUGCUAUAAAGAUCAAGCAUCAGAGAUUAUGCUAUUAAAAGAAAUUAAUUGAAGGUUUUAGUACAAGUGCACAUGUUUAAUUAUAUGGCAUCAGAAAGUUGAUGAGCUAAUGUAAUCGCCUUGAAUAUUUAAGAACAAUUUCAAUGAGCAAAAAAAUUUCUGUUAACUGCAAAGGAAUGUGAUUAUAGAGAGCUUAUGAAAGUAAUGAUUUGCAAAAGAAGAAGACUUAAUAAUGCAGCCCUUAAUAUUUAUUAAAUGACUUGUGAUCAUUUCUUUUAUGAAUAAAAUGCCAGCAGCAAAAAUAGAAAAAAGGGCUAAAUUUACUAAGUCUUAUUUUAUUUUUGAUUUCUUUUAUUUUCAUUCGCCGAAGAGGGAGUCUCUCUCUCUUUUCUUUUUUCUUUUUUUUUUAAAGGGAAUCUCCUUACCUAAUAUGACAUAAUGAAAGCAAUCCGUAAAUAGUACAAUAAUCAUAUAAUAUAAUGAUAGAAAGCAAGUGCAUGAGCCACGAAGAUCUGGAAGAAUGCCAAAGCCAAACCAUAAGUAUAUUACGUGAGAGCAUAAGUUGAUUCCCAUGCAAGCCAUGCAUGACACAUGCAUGUGCAGUUUCACGUGUGGAAAUUGUAAAGAUGAGUACUGGAGCCAUGAUUUUGGGAUGACCUUAUCAAGUUGAUUUUGGGAUGACCUUAUCAAGUUGCUUUUGAUUAUCUUUACGAAAUAUUAGCUAGGUCGUUAUUUUAAUAUUUGUUUUAUUGAUUUCAGCCGUGAUUGUAGAUUGAAAAUCAAGGUCUUGUGAUUAUAAAUAAGCUCCAGAAUAUGAAUAAAGGCAUUGAGAAUUCUAAACAACAAUUAUUGGGUCCUUUCUCGCCAUAAGCAGAAAAAUAUCACUUGUGUUACGCGUGAUCAUUGGCUGUCUCUGACUGGGACCUAACAUUGGUAUCAGAGCUAGCUAUCAAUGAGGACCAACAAGGAGCGCAUCGAACGAAUUGAAACUGAUAUCGGGAGCUUACAGAACAAGAUGGAACAAAUGGAAAUUGGGUUCAAUGACAAGCUGCAACGUCUGGAGGAUACCAUGAACAAAUUGGUUGAAUCUUUUAGUGCAACCAGAGGCACUGCCAGUCACGGCACUAACGAGAACAUUGGAUCUUCACGACACGACACUAACGAGAACAUUGGACCUUCACGAUCAUUCCGCGAGGAAAGUGAAAGAGGUCGACCACCGAUGCCGACAAGACUUGCUAAGUUGGAGUUUCCCCGCUAUGCCGGCGACGACCCAACGGAGUGGUUCAAUCGGGUAACGCAGUAUUUUGAGUACCAAGAAACCACAGAUGAGCAGAAAGUAGUCUUAGCGGCAUAUCACUUGGAGGGCGAAGCAAAUCAAUGGUGGCAGUGGAUGUGCAAGGCUUACCGAGAAGAAGGUCGACCGGUUACGUGGGAAAUAUUUGUUGACGAGUUGUGGGCGCGCUUCGGACCCACUGAUUGUGAAGACUUUGAUGAAGCAUUGUCUCGGGUCAAACAAACAGGUUCUCUGCGAGAAUACCAAAAGGAAUUUGAGAGGUUGGGAAACCGAGUUCAUGGGUGGUCACAGAAAGCGUUGGUAGGCACUUUCAUGGGAGGGUUGAAAACGGAGAUUGCAGAGGAUAUACGGAUGUUCAGGCCACGAACGUUAAAGGAAGCCAUUAGCCUUGCUCGUAUGAAAGACGACCAGAUAACACGCCAACGAAGAUUAUUCCGACCAACAAUUGUCAGCCGAACACCGCCGGUCCCCAAUCGAGCAUCACCAACAGUACCCUUCAAACGACUGUCUUGGGAGGAGAUGCAACGUCGACGUACACAAGGGUUAUGCUUCAACUGUAAUGACAAGUUUACCGUUGGCCACAAAUGCACCAAGGCACAAUUACUGAUUUUAGAAGGCGAACCACAAACAGAAGAAUUCAUCUAUGAAGAGGUCACGGAAGAUGAUCCAACAACGGGACCAGCAGAAAUGGAAAAACCUAAAAUCUCUUUAUAUGCAUUAACGGGAUGGACUGCACCUCAAACAAUGCGAGUCAUGGCAAGGAUUGGGCCGUACAAAAUAAUAGUCUUAAUAGACAGUGGGUCCACCCACAAUUUCAUUAGCACUAAACUUGCUAAUUUGCUCCAAUUACCCGUCAAACCAAUGGAGACUUUCACAGUACGCGUUGCCAACGGUGAAAGAUUGACAUGUCAAGGGAAGUUUGAACAGGUACAACUUUUCAUUCAAGAUAUUUCUUUUUCACUCACGGUUUAUUCUCUACCGAUAUCAGGAUUAGAUAUGGUACUGGGUGUGCAAUGGCUCGAACUAUUGGGUUCAGUCGUAUGUAAUUGGAAGACAUUAACUAUGGAGUUUGAGUGGGGAAACCGGAAACAACGCCUACAAGGGAUAAAUCCGCAAAUGGUACAGCCAGCAUCGGUGACAGAAGUAACGAAGGAAAUUAAACAAGGUCAUGAGGUAUAUGCAAUUUGUUUCCAAAUAAAACUAGAAGAGUCGCUGGGCACGUUACCACCAGAUAUGCAGCAGCUGUUGACAAAUUAUGAGGCAUUGUUUUGUGAGCCCACGCAGCUCCCUCCUCCACGAGACAUUGAUCAUCGAAUUCCAUUAAAGGAAGGUACCGAGGCAAUUAACGUAAAACCGUACCGGUACGCUUAUUUCCAAAAAGCAGAAAUUGAAAAACAAGUACAAGAGAUGCUCACUUCAGGGUUAAUCCGGCCAAGCACCAGCCCUUUCUCCUCACCGGUGCUGUUGGUAAAAAAGAAGGACCGCAGUUGGCGCUUUUGUACCGACUACAGAGCUCUAAAUCAAGUCACCAUCAAAGACCGUUUUCCAAUUCCAACGGUUGAUGACAUGUUAGGCGAUCUCCAUGGUGCCGCAUAUUUCACAAAAUUGGAUUUAAGGGCAGGGUAUCAUCAGGUGCGAGUUAAUCCUGCGGAUGUCCAUAAAACUGCAUUCUGAACUCACAACGGGCAUUGCGAAUACCUAGUGAUGCCGUUCGGAUUGUGCAAUGCACCAUCAACGUUUCAGGCUUUGAUGAAUUCUAUUUUCCGUCCUUACCUCAGAAAAUUUAUACUUGUAUUUUUUGAUGACAUACUAAUUUACAGCCCCACGUGGAGCUGCCAUUUGAACCAUAUGAAACAGGCACUAGAAAUUCUUCGAGAACAGCAACUUUUUAUCAAGGCAAGCAAGUGCAAUUUCGGGCAGUAGGAAUUGGAGUAUCUAGGUCACAUAGUCACUUGUCAUGGCGUAAAGGUAGAUGACAAGAAAAUUGCGGCGAUGGUAACUUGGCCCCGGCCACAAAACAUCUCCGAGCUGAGGGGAUUCCUUGGUCUCACCGGAUAUUACAGAAAAUUCGUGCAAAGGUAUGGGUUGCUUGCUCGGCCACUCACUAAUCUUUUGAAGAAAGGACAGUUCGGCUGGAGUGACGAAGCGGAAAAAGCUUUUGACAAUUUAAAGAAGGCUAUGACUAUUACUCCAAUGCUCACCAUGCCCAACUUCAAUGAUACUUUCAUUAUUGAAACUGACGCUUCCGGCGAUGGUAUUGGUGCGGUGUUACAGCAGCAAGGAAAACCAAUAGCGUACAUGAGUAGAGCUCUCGGCAUCACAAAGAAAGCUUGGUCAGUUUACAACAAAGAGAUGCUCGCCAUUGUGGAAGCUAUUCGAAUAUGGAGGCCAUACUUGUUAGGGCAGGGUUUCACAAUCCAAACUGACCAUCGCAGCAUCAAGUUCUUCCUGGAACAGAAAGUCGCAACACCGGAGCAACAAAAAUGGAUGGUAAAAUUAAUGGGCUAGGAUUAUGAAAUUGUUUAUAGGCCGGGUCGAGAAAAUACAGCCGCAGAUACGUUGUCACGACGUUUUGACAGCCCAACUCUAUUUCAUGUCUUUAUUCCGCAGGUUGCUAUAUGGGAAGAAAUAAAAAACGCGGCCAGCAAUGAUGAGUACAUGAAGAGAAUAAAUUCAGUUGUGCAAGCCCAACCUUCAGGGCCUUACACGUUGCGGGAUGGCAUGAUAUUUUUUAAGAAUAAAGUAGUAGUUCCACAAGCAUUACGGGACACACUCCUAUUUCAAGCACAUGACACAAAGAUAGGAGGUCACUCUGGAAUUCUUCGCACAUUCAAACGUUUAUCACAACAGUUCUACUGGCCAUCCAUGUUCCAAACUGUGCGUGAAUACUUGAGUAAAUGUGCAACUUGUCAACAAACAAAGGCAGAAACACUCAAGCCGGCAGGACUUCUCCAGCCUCUGCCAAUCCCGUGUCAGGUGUGGGAUGAUAUUACACUAGACUUUAUUGAAGCUUUACCCUGGUCACAAGGGAAGAAUGCUAUUUUGGUAGUGGUAGAUCGACUGAGUAAAUCAACACAUUUUAUGGCUCUUUCUCAUCCUUACUCAGCAAAAACAGUGGCGGAAAAAUUUAUUGAGGGAGUAGUGAAGCUGCACGGCAUGCCCAAAUCAAUCAUUAGCGACCGAGACCCUAUAUUCAUCAGCAGAUUUUGGCAAGAGUUCUUCAAUUUAUCCAGCACCAAACUCAAAAUGAGCUCGGCGUACCACCCGCAAACCGACGGCCAAACGGAGGUAAUUAAUCGAUGCUUGGAACAGUACUUGAGAUGUUUUGUUCACCAAUGGCCGCGAAAGUGGCAUUCUUUUUUGCCGUGGGCAGAAUUUUGGUACAACACCACAUUCCACGUCUCCACCGGAAUGACUCCAUUCCAAGCUUUGUAUGGAAGACCACCUCCAACCGUGCCCAUGUAUCAACUUGGUUCCUCGCCGGUGCAUGAGGUUGAUCAAGCCUUACAUUCACGUGAUGAACUGCUCUUACAAUUAAAGAAAAACUUAGUCACAGCAGCUAACAGGAUGAAGCAAACAGCUGACAAGGGUUGCCGCGACGUUGAGUUCAAACAGGGAGAUAUGGUGUUAUUAAAGUUGCAGCCCUAUCGGCAGACUUCAGUGUUCAGAAGAGCACAUCAGAAAUUAGCUUGCAGGUACUUUGGGCCGUAUUUAGUUCUUCGCAAAGUUGGAGCCGUGGCCUACGAACUACAAUUACCAGAGAAUGCUCGAAUUCACCCGGUGUUUCACGUCUCUUUGCUUAAGAAAGCCGUGGGUGAUUAUGAUAGAAAGCAAGUGCAUGAGCCACGAAGAUCUGGAAGAAUGCCAAAGCCAAACCAUAAGUAUAUUACGUGAGAGCAUAAGUUGAUUCCCAUGCAAGCCAUGCAUGACACAUGCAUGUGCAGUUUAACGUGUGGAAAUUGUAAAGAUGAGUACUGGAGCCGUGAUUUUGGGAUGACCUUAUCAAGUUGCUUUUGGGAUAACUUUAUCAAGUUGCUUUUGAUUAUCUUUACGAAAUAUUAUCUAGGUCGUUAUUUUAAUAUUUGUUUUAUUGAUUUCAGCCGUGAUUGUAGGUUGAAAAUCAAGGUCUUGUGAUUAUAAAUAAGCUCCAGAAUAUGAAUAAAGGCAUUGAGAAUUCUAAACAACAAUUAUUGGGUCCUUUCUCGCCAUAAGCAGAAAAAUAUCACUUGUGUUACGCGUGAUCAUUGGCUGUCUCUGACUGGAACCUAACAUAUAAUAAGUAAAAAUACCCAUAUAUGUAUAAUAAUAAUGAUGGGAUCCAUAUGUUUAUACUAAUUAAAUUGGUGGACCAGAAUUUAUUUGACCUUACUUGUUUUCUAUUUAAUUAAAAUUGAACCGAUAGAGAAAAAUUGUCGUAUUGAUUGUUUCGAUUGUGGAGUUCCAACACUGAAAGUGAAGAUUUCAUCAACUUUCACAUGGACACGUACCGUCAUGCAUAUUGCAUUAUAUUCCUAGAAAAGCAAGAUUAAUUCUUUUAAUAAGCAAACGCGUAGGUGGGAAUCCAUUCAUGAAACAAGUGGAACGACAAUAUCAAACCAAUGAUAAUUCAAAAUCUGAAUCCGCCUGAUGGACGGCAACUCAUCUGAACCAUUCUCCUUUAGUAACAGGAGAAUAAAAUUAUAUCGAUGAUAGAUAAUUUCAAAACAGGGGAAUGAAAACAGAGGAACCUGAUUUUCCUCCCCUUUCUUUUUUCCCCCAACUCUUCUUCUUUUUAUAUUUUCCUUGGAAUUUUUGGCAAACGAAAAAAAAAUAUUACUAGUAAGCAAAGGGGAUUGAUUGAGGGUACAUUUGGGAUUUCUUUUAUUUCUUUAGGUUAUAGGUGGUUUACUUAUCAUGACUUGCACUUAGGAAUGGAUUAUGCACUUGUUUAGUCAUCAAUCAUGAGAACAUUUCUUUUUAAAGCAUCUAAUCAGCUUCAAACUAAUAAAAAAUUCUUUUUUCCCCCAACUCUUCUUCUUUUUAUUUUUAUAUAUUUGAUAAGCACGCUCACUAUUAAUAGAAUUCAUUAGAUAUCUUAAUUUAAAUAACUUCUUGUAGGGUGUUUGGUAAAUGAUGAUUAUUUGACAAUCAAUUUUCAAAUAAUCUACUAUACAAAUUUGAUAAGUGAAAAUUAAAAGUGUAAUAUUCAUGUGCAAUGAUAAAAAUGUACUUGUUUGCUUAUUUGUAGUUUAUUCGGAAUAUUAUUAUUAACAUCAUUUUUUUAUUUACUGGAUUUUUAAAGAGUAUAUUCUAUUUUCUUUAUUACAUAUCUAUAUCAUUUUUUUAUUAACUAUUUUAAUUUGCAAUAAAACUAACUUUAAUAUUUUUUUAACUAAAAAAAUUCAUGCUAACAUAUUAUCAAAUUGAUUAAUAAAUAAGUGCAAAAAGAAAAUGCAAAAAUUUAAUCUUUAUAUAAACUUUUAUGUACAUAAAACUAUUGCAAUCAAAGUAGUUCAUAAAAAUAAAAUAUUAUAUACAUGUGUGUAAAAAAAUAUAUAACUAUAAUAUUGUCCACUCAUUAAACUUGCAGCACUAUUAUUUCUCAAUCUCCCCAUCUCUCGACCUUUAGGAACAUUAAUACUAUGAUCUUCUUCUUAAAUUCGACCUCCAUUUCCACAGUAUCAACAAGGCGAUCAAUUUGCUGUGACAGCCUUUCAACUCCUCCCACUUUCCUCCCUUUUGCGGCCGCUCUUUUUCCUUUUCUUUCUUUGAUAGCUUCAAUGGGAACAAACUCAUCUAACGACAAGUACAUUCUUCAACCACAGUAGAAUUGGUAGUUGAUAUUUUACUACUCUCAGAUGGUAUCUAAACAUGGUCACCAGUGAUUGUUAUAUUAAAAAAAAUUCUAUUCAAAUUUUCCUCUGACUUUGUGUCGAUACCUUUCAUGCAAAAUCUAUUUGCUUCAGAAAUUUCUUCCGUAUGUUGAUAUCAUAUUAAAGUGAAUUCAAGAUCCUAUAUUAUUUUGCAUGACAUCAAAAUUUAGCCGAAUGGUAAAGAAUUUCCCUUUUUGUUUGUCCCACAACUAUAUAGUCUCAUUUUUGGCAAUAAGCUCACAAUAUGCACGGAAAUGAAGAUUUAUUAAAAACUUCCCUAUAAUAUUAAACACUAAACAAUAUCACUAUGUUGUGCAUAUGGUGCCUCGUCAACAAUUUGAUGUUCAUUUUGUUGCUCGGGUGAAUAUGACUACUUGCGUUGCGAGUCCAUGCUUUUGUCGUUUGGAUGGAGGACGGGCCAUCUUUUUAUUUUAGAUGGUUUGUAGGACUUCUGAUAAUUAUUUUUCUAAAACUGAUUUAUGGUUAAUAAGACCUAUGAAAGCAUUCAAAGAAGCCACCGAACUCAGAGGAAAGCCAUGGUUAAAUAUACUGUGAAGCACGUGAGCUCGUUUUUUAAUCUCCUGAUCACUCAUAAGCUUUUCUAUACCACUCACUAUAUCAUCCUUUUGAAUCGAUUUUGAUUGAUCAUCAGAGAUCAUGUACCCACCUUGAGAUGAUUGAUCACAAAUUUGGCAUUGUAAUGUUGGUCACCUCUAAUUGGCCAUGCUAAAAUUGGGACUCGACAACCAAUUGCUUCUACUGUUGAAUUCCAUCCACAGUGAGAUAAAAAUCCACUCGUUGAUUGAUGAUUCAAUAUCAAUGAUUGUGGCGCCCAUCCAUCUAUUAUCAAACCCUUUUUACCGACUUUAUUAUCCAAACCACUACGAAAAUAACUGCCUUCAGCUGGUUUGUCCAAAUGACGUAGAGGAUCCAAUCUACCUGCACCACCUUGAAUUACCAAAAUAAACGGUCGAUUUGAUGCUUCUAAAGCAUUGGCUAGUACUAAGUACUCAUCUAAGGUCGGAUCCACUUCAGUACCAAACGACACAUAUAACACAGAUCCACGUGAUUUCAAAUUCAACCAAUCUCAUCUUCCGUCAUGUUAGAACUCCGCCGGUUGGUUCUCAUCUCAUGAUCAUGAAGCUUUGAACCGGCCGAUUUGUAAAAUUGUUCAGGUAACAGUGAGCCCACUCCCCACACCGGCUUUCCCAAUUGAUUGGCUAAAUAAUUAAUAAAUGGUCCCUCAAGACCAUCACACGUGUUGAACAUCAACGCCAUUGAUCCCUCUACUUCCUUCAUCCAGUGUGGUUGAUCACCGGCUUCUAGUGGACCUUUUUUUCUCGGAACCGGGUGCACCUCGCAGAGGUGGUGGACCACUAGGAGGGGGCCCAUGAGGCCUGUGUUUAAGAUUCGAUUCAAAUAAAGCCAUAUCCUGGGGUAACCCAGGAAGUAAACGGCCCUCUCCCGGUUUGACCCCUUGGAUGCGAGCCUGCCACAUGGCACACUCCACAGCUGCCGAGCAAGCACCAGAAGUGAAGAACCCAACAAUGGGAACUUCAAAAAAUCUUGAAAACAUCAGCCGUCCAGCCCAUCAUAACGUCGAUGACUGCACAAACGGGUCGGCUUUGGGUUCCCGGGUUGAAAGAGGUUUCGAAGGCCUUGAAGCAUUUGGCUGUGCAUGACAACAUGGGGGUGAGGAGGCGAAGGAGGGUAUUUCAGUAACUUCAAAGAGAGGAUAUUGGUGAAACGAGGAAGGGAUAAUGCUGGUCGCGGAGAUGAGGAGGAUAUUUCAAUAACUUCAAAGAGAGGGUAUUGGUGAAACGAGGAAGGGAUAAUGCUGGUGGCGGAGAUGAGGAGGAUAUUUCUGUAACUUCAAAGAGAGGGUAUUGGUGAAACGAGAAAGGGAUGGUGCUGGUGGCGGAAAUGUGAGAGGGAAUGAUGAGGGUAGAUUUGUAAUUACGAGAAGCGAUUUGGUUGCAUAACUCAAUGCAUAGAAAUAGAUGUCCCUGACCGAAGAAUGGGACAAUCCAAAUCUCGGCCUCAGCAGCAGUAGCAACAGAGCUUGACAUCUUUUUGAAUUAUUUGAUACUUAAUUGUUACUGUUUGCUUUUACCAUCUUUCAUAAAACACUCCUUUUUAUAUAUAAAGAGAUGACUUAAUGGAGAAGUAAGUGUUUUAGUUUUACAGUUUUUCUAGUAGGUAGUAGGUGAGCUCUGAGUUUGAUAAUUUGAUUGUUAGUUUUAGUUGGUUAGUUAUGAGAGAGCAUCUUUCAGAAAAUUCAUUCCAGUUUCAACUAAAAUUAAUAAUAUUAUUAAAAUUAAUUACUCGAUAAAUAAAUAAUUAGAGAUAAAUCUAUCUCUAAUCUCACAUUUAUAAAAUAAGGAUUGAAAUAAGUUCUUGUCGGUUCGAACUCAAGCCCUCAAGCCGAGUGGCUGGAUCUUGACUACUUUGACUUAAUUAUUUUAUAUAUAUAUAUAUUUUUCAUUCUUUCAUUGAACAUCUUUUGUUAUAUAAUGAAGAAGAUAAGUUGACGGAGAAGGGUUUUGCUUUUACUAGUAGAUGAGCUUUGAGUUGAGAACGUUAGUUUUAGUUAAUUAAAUAUCUACCAUCCAAAUCAACAUUCCUUAGACUAUUAUUCAAGUGAGAUGUCUGAGUAACAUACGCUUGAGUUAGUCGGUGCCUAACAAUUCGUGUGAUACAUGAAACCAACCAAUAUGAAAACCAAAUCAAGUUGGUAGGAUUACAUUAAUUUAAAUUAACUUUCAAGUUCCAACAUUAUAAGAUAAAUAAAUAGCAUAAACUAAUUUUUGUUUUCAAGUAAAUAUGUUUAUCGUUUAAAAAUUAUUUUUUCUUGCGGUAAAUGCAACACUAAAUAAGGAGUGAAGAGGGUAUUUUGUAGGGUAUACCCCCACCUUUUAUUUCAUUUCAUUAUUAAAAAAUAAAGGCUUGGUUCAACAUUCAAGUAAAAUUAACAAUUCCAUGAUAAAAUUGCUUGAGAAUAAGAAUUAAAAUAAAAAAAGAAAACAGCAACUCAAAAACAACAUACAAAUACCGUACAGAGGUUUUUCGUCACGAGAUAUUUUUGGGUUGGGACAACAAUUGUAUAACAGAGCAUACAGACUGAAUGACGGUGAGAAUAAGAAGGAAAACGGCGCCACACACCGAAAUGCCAGCCCAUGGAGUAUUGAAGUAAUUUUGUUUCAAGUUUGCCCUCCAUUUGUAGCACGUUCUUUUGCAGUGAUCAUUCAAUCCUUUGCAUAGCCCAGAAAAAUAGAAGCUAUCAGACAGCAGAGUAGUACCUCUAGAAAGGUUAUUUAGAAGCAUUGACGCAGUCUCUUUAUCCGGCAACCAGUUCUCAAUGAUUCCGUUCUGAACAAGCAACUCGACGUCCUUCGCUGUGUUCACGAGAUGAUGAAUAAGGAACACAUAAUCAUUUAUGUAAUUCUCUGAGUAAUGCCGUUGUUCAAAGGCAAUGAGAUUACGAAAUAAGGAUUCUGUUUCCAGCUGUAGCUUCAGUUUCGGAAUAUGCAAUGUCCUGUUUUUGAAUUCUAUGGCGAACAAAUCAUUGCUCUUGCUCAAACUGAAGUGGACUCCAGCUUGGUGGAGAUCAGUCACACUUGGUGCGGUUUUACCUUUGUGGUAUUGCUGACCUUCUUGUUUUUCCUGAUUCCUCGAUGAUGGUAGAUGACAAAUCCUUAGAAAAUCAAGGAAAUGCUCUACCCUAACCUCAGUGUAAGGAGGGAAUUUUUGCCGAUUACCUUGUACUGCCUCUAAACCCUUGAAAAACUCGUAUGUGACUGUGAUGAUGAUUGGAUUUUCAUGUUGGUCGGGGAUUUCAAUUGCCGCUAGAGCAAAAAGAUCCUCAAGAAUGAAGAAAGGAAGCUGAUUCUCAAGCAACCACAUAUCAUACCAUAUAUCCUCUAUUAAAUAGGGUUUAUGAAAUAUAUGAUCAUCUUUUUUUUGAAGUUGACGGAAAUGAUACCUCAAUAAGAGUUCAAUGAUGAAGGCAGCAUCCAGCAGAAUCAUUUCAACAAAUUUAUCACUACUUAGUUCGACUUUUUCUGCAUAAGAACCUCGUAAUUCUGCUUCUCUGAACUUUAUAAUUUGAACAAACUCGUCAAAGCUUAUGUUGGUCCGUUGAAGAAAGCAAUGCAGGUACCGCUGUUUAUGUUCUUCCAUGAACUGUAAGUUUGCUUUGCCAUGGUGAAGAGGGCCAAUUGAGACUACCUGAGGUGUAUAUACCUUUUCAUUUAUCUGACGUAAUCGCUCUGGAACUCUGUAGAUGCAGCAGUUUG
Molecule: long non-coding RNA, 41137 nt
Filed under: Citrus x clementina
Lineage: Eukaryota; Viridiplantae; Streptophyta; Magnoliopsida; Sapindales; Rutaceae
Description: Citrus clementina (C. clementina) long non-coding RNA (CCLE_LNC002802)
Source: RNAcentral